GACGAACGCUGGCGGCGUGCUUAACACAUGCAAGUCGAACGGAAAGGCCCUGCUCUUGUGGGGUGCUCGAGUGGCGAACGGGUGAGUAACACGUGAGUAACCUGCCCUUGACUUUGGGAUAACUUCAGGAAACUGGGGCUAAUACCGGAUAGGAGCCUCUGCUGCAUGGUGGGGGUUGGAAAGCUUCGGCGGUUGGGGAUGGACUCGCGGCUUAUCAGCUUGUUGGUGGGGUAGUGGCUUACCAAGGCUUUGACGGGUAGCCGGCCUGAGAGGGUGACCGGCCACAUUGGGACUGAGAUACGGCCCAGACUCCUACGGGAGGCAGCAGUGGGGAAUAUUGCACAAUGGGCGGAAGCCUGAUGCAGCAACGCCGCGUGCGGGAUGACGGCCUUCGGGUUGUAAACCGCUUUCGCCUGUGACGAAGCGUGAGUGACGGUAAUGGGUAAAGAAGCACCGGCUAACUACGUG
Molecule: ribosomal RNA, 468 nt
Filed under: uncultured bacterium
Lineage: Bacteria
Description: partial 16S ribosomal RNA
Rfam family: Bacterial small subunit ribosomal RNA
Source: RNAcentral